Molecule: long non-coding RNA, 439 nt
Organism: Homo sapiens (human)
Lineage: Eukaryota; Metazoa; Chordata; Mammalia; Primates; Hominidae
Source: Ensembl
UGAACAGGGAGAACAUUUUUUUGCCCUUGAAGUUGGGGAACUAGAGAGUAAAUGGAACUUGUGUUUUGCUUUCCAUAUGGAAUUACUGGCAGCAACAGCUUAAUGAGCAUCGCCCCUGCCCCAAGACGGGAUCCAGAGGACUCUGUGAAGGUGGCAGGUUCAAGCAUGUAAGGACUCUGAAAGUCCCCGAGACCUCUCCAACAGCCCCAGAGAAGAUCUAGAAAUUCCAACUCGUUAUGAGCUGACAGAAAGGCUGAUGUGCUGCGGAAGGGGUUGGUACCGGGACCUUGGAUCAGAGGCUUUGCAGGGUUGGGUCCAUGAGGGGUCCAAAGAGAAACAGUUAUGUCUCAACGAGGAUGCAGUGCAUGAGUGGGGCUUGGUAAAAACUCCAUGUAGUGAAUAAAGGGCUUCACUAAUAAAUUCUCUUAUUAAUCCCAAA